Molecule: ribosomal RNA, 253 nt
Filed under: uncultured bacterium
Lineage: Bacteria
Description: partial 16S ribosomal RNA
Rfam family: Bacterial small subunit ribosomal RNA
Source: RNAcentral
UACGUAGGGUGCGAGCGUUGUUCGGAAUUAUUGGGCGUAAAGGGCUCGUAGGCGGUCUGUUGCGUCGGGAGUGAAAACUCAGGGCUUAACCCUGAGCCUGCUUCCGAUACGGGCAGACUAGAGGUAUGCAGGGGAGAACGGAAUUCCUGGUGUAGCGGUGAAAUGCGCAGAUAUCAGGAGGAACACCGGUGGCGAAGGCGGUUCGCUGGGCAUUACCUGACGCUGAGGAGCGAAAGUGUGGGGAGCGAACAGG